AGCUUUGUGCUGUGGCAAUAUCGUAGCCAAUGAGAUUUAUCCAAGGUGAGAUUAUUACUAAUUGAAAACUUUUCCCAAAGG
RNAcentral lists this small nuclear RNA (81 nucleotides) under Chinchilla lanigera (long-tailed chinchilla). RNAcentral describes it as "U4 spliceosomal RNA (ENSCLAG00000020557.1)". It matches the Rfam family "U4 spliceosomal RNA", at positions 1 to 81 of the family's 138-position model. From Rfam's summary of the family: U4 small nuclear RNA (U4 snRNA) is a component of the major U2-dependent spliceosome. The structure of U4 snRNA from yeast and human has been reported. The record is from RNAcentral. Lineage: Eukaryota; Metazoa; Chordata; Mammalia; Rodentia; Chinchillidae.